Molecule: non-coding RNA, 4552 nt
Organism: Gasterosteus aculeatus aculeatus (three-spined stickleback)
Lineage: Eukaryota; Metazoa; Chordata; Actinopteri; Perciformes; Gasterosteidae
Source: RefSeq, a predicted model, not a curated record
AGGGGAGUAACAAGCUGCUGUGGGUUGAGUUUGCACGUGCAUGGAGCCGUGCGCGCCGGCGCUUGAUGUUUUCGCACCACUCAUCUGGAAGGUAAAGGGAAAGAAAGUAAAAACACAUGACAAGUUUGACGUGUCCUUAUCUGAGGAUGGACCUUCACUUUGAAGAUUAAGGACGUGCGAGUCAGUGCCACCGGACACGACACUGCCGGCGCUGGAGGCCUCACUGCCAUCGUGGACCACAGUAUUUCUCAGGCUUCAACAAGUGUUUUUUUUGUUAUGCUUUAUUUUUUUUAGUGGGGGGUUUUCCCAAAAGGGUUGUGAGCUGCUGCUUUAGUGAAACUAAUUUGGACCUAUCGUCCAAAUGAAGACGCAUGGGUAGCAUCAUAAAUCCUCCUAGUGCUGAGUUGAAAGGGAGCCAACAAAGUCCCUGCACACAACAAGCUCAUUUAUUACAGCUGUGUCUAACAAGAUGCUCACAUGCCCAACGUGCAAGCUGGGACACGCAAAUGUCUUCACAAGGACAUGUGGCUGUCCUCUGGGGUUCCAGGAACAGAAGCAUAGUAAUGUAGGUUGUGUUAAUUACAGUCGCUCCUGAGAAGAGAAGUAUCUGCCGUGUGUGAGAGAUGAAAUAUAUAAAGAACAAACCUAAUAAAUUGGUACAAAAAUCAAUUAAUCCUGUUUUAAAAAUUUCAGUUAAUGUGAUUAAUGCUUUGUUUUUAAUACAUACAUUUCUUUAAAAGUUAAGCAUGCUACUUAAGGUAAAAGAAACCCUGAAGUGAGUCCCUUACUUUUAUUACCGGCCUUUUUUCUACUUUCAUCCAGGGAUUCCCACCAAGUGUACCAGCCACUUUAAGAACAUGCGAGAGUGCGAGAUGAGCACCGAGGAGGGACGGGUGACAUCACGGGACAGAAAGAGGACGCAAGGUGAUCAUCGACGGCUGCGAAGUGACGGACGAGGCAGAGUUCUCGUCACCUGCACUCAGCACAAUGACGCCCAGGAACACACGUCACUUCUGCCCGACUGACCACUUUUUCUUUAUCGGUGUCAGUGUCACUUUUGUUUGUGUCGUGCUGGAGCGGAUGUCAAAGCUCGGUGUCCUACAGUCUCCCGUGCAGAGCUGUUGUGCUUGAUGGUGAGAAGAAUGGAGUGUGGCUGAAAGAUGAAAGAGUCUCUUUGUCAGUUCUCAAAUGCCCCCUUCUUCUACCAAAUGAUGUGGCAGAGGGUUUUUUUGUCAUGCAAACACUUGGCUCCAGUCAUGAAGCUGUGGUUGAUCCACCACUUCUGUCCCGACUAAAAUAUCCCAACAUCUGCUCUACAGAUUGGCACACAUGAAUGGGUCGCAGGUUUAAUCAUAAUACUUUUGGUGAUACCAUAACCUGUUCUUUACAGGCACAUUAGUUUAAAUCUCGACAAUAUGAAGGACUGCUAGAUUUCGCCAAAAAUUGGUGCAGAUAUAUACGGUCGGAAGAGGAAGAUUUUUUUUCCUCAAUAACACAUUGUUUGCAUGUAACAUUGACAGAUUUAUGAGCUGAUCUUCUCUGGUAUGACUUUCAUGAUGGGGGGGUUCCCCUCCAGGGCCAAUGGGGCUGAGACGGAGGCUGUGUGCUCACUAGUGCAGAUGAUUGAGAUGAGAGACUAAUUGAAGGAAGCUUCCUGCCACAAUAUCAGUCACGCAAAUCACAUCUCAAACUACAUCAAUCUCAUUCUCCAGAAAUGGGUUUCUCUGUGCUGGACAUGUUGGGGGGCCCAAGCUGUGACAGUGAAGGCCGGCCAGAAACCACCAUUAAGAUCCCCUUCAAAGGCAAACCAGCCGCCUGAGGUCACACGGCACAAGGAUGGUCGCGGAGGUCAUGGAGGACGAGAGGACCCCGGCAGUGAGUACAGCUGAGAGCACCUCGCUAGUUCCCAGCAGGUGGGUGAGCAGAGGCGGGCGUCAUCAACUCAAACAUGUUGUGAUCUUUGCAGAAGGUCAAAGACAGCUACAUGCUGCCGUUGCCAACUUACACCCCCAAUGCGAUUGGCCGGACACGACACAUAUUUGGGAUUCAGAAGUAAAAGCUGUCUACUUUAAUGCAGGUUUUAAAUACUACAGAACAUCCUAAGCCUCCUGAGAGUAAGCUAGAGUUCAUCGAGCUAUAUGUAAAGUGUAUUAAUUAAAAAAUGAUUUUUUAAUAAUUUAAAAGUAAUUUUAUGGUUGAUUUAUUUGGAUGAGAAAAUGCUGUUUUUCUCCCAUGGAUAAUUUCUGGUAAUGGCAAUGUAACAAACGGCCACUAGAGGUCAGACUCGCUCCAAUUCUUGUGUAGAGAUUGUGGUCCAGGAGGACACUGAAGUUUGUGCUGGAGGGAUUUUUUCUUGUGGAUGAAGACAAGGAUUGAAUACAUGCACGGUGCAUCAUAUAAACACAGACGCAUGUCCUUUUGUUUGAGGACAGACACACAUUGGCAUGCACGCUGACAAUUACACAAUCAGCCAAAAUCUUACCUCCCUUGUGUUCAAUAGAUUAGCUUUUUCAUCCGUAUAACAUGCAAAGCCAGUCCACAGCUUUUAUGAAACACCGUCUUCUUUUCCCUUUUGUGGUUAAAUCUGCUUUCUAGAUGAAUCGAAAAGAACAAAUGCCCACAAGUAUACCUAAAACAAAAAAUGGAAGUGAUUUCAUCUGCCGUCCUGUGGAUUUGAUGUUGUAUUUAGUAUUUAGCUCUCUGUCUGGAACAUUUCUGGAUCUGAAAUGACGAGCUCAGCUUUGCAUCUGUUAUCAUCCACAUCACAAAAUGCUGUGAAGCGUCUGCAAAUCUUUCUUCUUUCUUCGGAAUAUCGACGGAAAGUAUCUGUUAGCAAAUCCAUUGAAGUCAUUUACAGAAACCAUGCAGCCAAUUUAAACUCCAUGUUGUUUCUGGGGGCUUUUUGCAUUUAUUAAUGCAGUCUGAACUUAUGUCAGUGAAACAAAUAGUUAAAAGUCAGAUUGAGGCCAGGCGACACACUUGGAAUGUUUAUGCUUUAGCCAUUACAAGCUCACUGGGAGCCUUAAAAUGUAAAAAGUAAACACUGUUCAACCAGUAUUUUUAACACAGAUUUUAUUUGAGCCUUUGAGACUGAAAUUUCUCCUUUUACUUUCAAACCGCUUUGUGUGAUGGCUUCCCUCUGGGUCGAAGAGGCUUUGACAGCCUCCGAAUGGGCCUCGCCUCCUGCUGGUCCGCUGCUCCCCUGAGAAAGGGAGCGUGGUCCGGCGGAGAGCUGCCAAAUAGACUUGAGAGAGGUCACGACCCCUUUCCACCCUGACGUCAGUGCGCUGGCUGAAGCGAACUCAAGCGUUUCUACACAGCCACCACGGUACGACUGGCAUCGCCUGGUUACCAGGCUUAAGUAAAUUAAGCACCGACUGGCGCUAGAAGGAGAAGAAUAAAACAAUAUUAUACUCCGGGAGGAUCAAUUGUCAUGUCUUCCAUCUAUUGAGACCAUAGGUGCUAAUGAAUGAGGCUCAUUUGGAAGGAAUUGGCUCUACUCUGUGAGGUGUGUGCGUGCAUAAAGAAAAGAACAAGCAGAACAAACGAGAAGGCGAGAGGAAGUCCUGGUGGUUUCCAAGGAGUUGAAGCCUCCCGAGAGCACAUUUUCUACCUCGGCCAGACAAAAGAAUGCAGCUGUAGCUACAAGAACGGAGCUCUGCCCACAGCUUCUGUAGAAAUACAAAAUGCUGACCGGGCGUUAAGAUCAGCACUUUUAAUGAGGUACAAUUGAUUCUAGUAAACAAACAGAAAAGUCCAAAAUGUUGAAGUUGCAUUGUCUUUGCAUUUAUUUUUUCCAAUAGAUAUUCACAUUCAUAUCAGUUUCACUACAGCAAAGGAACUAUUUCAUCUCUACGGUCAUGAAAAAAAAAAUGAAGAUUUUAUUUCAUGAAGAAAUAAAAACAAGAGAUAAAUAAAAGAAACAGACAUUUGUUCAUGAAAUGAGGUCAGGACCUUCAAAAAAGAAAAGAUUUUUGUGGAAAACACACCCAGCUCUUACCACAGAGACAGGCAAAAACAGUAUUUGGAUAAAAGUAAAAGGAGAUUUAAUAUAUAUUUAAAAGCUUGUAACACUUCAAGAGCUAUUAUUAUCUUUUGAAACCAAAAAUGAUCCCACGCCAAUGCCUCCCUUUAUUGUGACUAACCCUCAACAUCAAAACCAACUUCUGGUUUAUCUCUUGAUGUAAGGGAUAAUAUACUAAAAAGGUUUACAGUACACAACAAACCCUACAGCUGCUGGGAGAGAGAUUGACUGGCCUGGCUCUGAUUACAGAGAAGUGCAGCACACAGUGGAUUCAGAUUGAUAAUACAAAGAGAACAUGUCACCACCUUUACACACACGUCGUAGGGCCGACUCUGAUGGAGGAGCAGGCGUCAAUCGUGCACUUUUCCAUCCAUCACCGCAGAUGGGUGGUGUUGGCCUGGAUGAGUCAGUUCAACCCACUCGACACGCGUGACUAAGGUCUGUGCAGACGUUACGGCUCAGCCUCAGGUGACACAUCCCGGGACACAACGGCAAAAAGAAGCAGAGGGAAGAGGUUCAAUCGGGAGG